GCACCCGUUUUAUUGCUGUUAUGGGUUUGAAGCGAGCUUAGCCUUGUUCAUUUUUUUUCACAAUAGUCAUGUAAAAAAUUGAACACACUCUGCUGAGCACCGCGCCGGCCAAGGCCGAGACGCCAUAAGCGAUGCCCUGAAACGCCCUAUAAAUGGCCACAUUGCCCUUUUUAAGGGCGC
Molecule: non-coding RNA, 180 nt
Organism: Pseudomonas taeanensis MS-3
Lineage: Bacteria; Pseudomonadati; Pseudomonadota; Gammaproteobacteria; Pseudomonadales; Pseudomonadaceae
Rfam family: Pseudomonas sRNA P1
About the family: There appears to be two related copies of P1 sRNA in the P.aeruginosa PA01 genome and both copies appear to be located upstream of predicted glutamine synthetase genes. This sRNA appears to be conserved amongst several Pseudomonas species.
Source: Rfam